GGUAGAAUUACAGACACACAACCCAUUACUGGACCAACAACGAGGAGUUUGGUAUCAAUCUCAAUAUUGUAAUUAUAAUGCCAAGUGUACUGAGCUUCAGUUUCAGUAGCAACAAUUGCUUGGAUAUUCUUUUUUAAUUUUUAGGCUGGCCACCAUAGAUUAGUUAAUCCGUACAUGGUUCAGUUCAAAGCAACAAAGUAUCUGCUGUCAAUGAAGCUCUGAAUGAAAUUUUUGUCGAGGAAGAGGACUAUGACAGACUUCGAGAAUCAAUAGAUUUGCAUGACAACUUUUAUCAGAUGUCUUGCACAGAAGAUUGAGAAGCGUGAACUUCUUGAGAUGAGGCGUGUUGCUGCACACAAGAAAGCAGGAAGUUGGAAGCAACCCAUUGUUUUGUCGAAAAAGGACAAUCUUUAAAAGGACUGCAUGGCAACAUGCUCUCAAUCUGGUGAUCGUGAA
This 456-nucleotide small RNA is filed under the name Vigna angularis var. angularis. Its description in RNAcentral is "Non-protein coding transcript". Lineage: Eukaryota; Viridiplantae; Streptophyta; Magnoliopsida; Fabales; Fabaceae. The record is from RNAcentral.